CAUUUGGAAGCCUGAGCAAAGGGCUGAAUUUGAAGGCCCAAGAGCUGGGGCUGAAGACCCUCACAAGGGUUGAUAGACAGUUUUGUUGGACUCUUUGCUACCCGGAAGGGGUGCAUUUUGUUGUGACACCUGGCUGGAGGACUGAGCCACUGAAGACCCACCAAGCAAGGUUGACAAUCUACAAGGGGUGCCAGGAGCAGGAAGUGGCCUGCAGUACCGUGUGCCGCAGCAGAAGGAACUCAAGAGUAAAUCUUCUCACCUCGCUGGUAAUGAAAGAGUUGCCGUAUCUCUGCAGAGCUGUGGCAGCAAUAUUACUGAUGGGCCCUUCUCCUGAUUCCGCAUAUUUUAGCAGCAGCGGAAUUGCUUCAGGCAGAAGGGCGUUCUUCAUUGCCAGCAGGCUUCCCAUUGCAGUGUUUUAGAAGCCCAUGUUCAACGUUAAGAAAUCUAAAGAUUGAGAGGGUUACUUUCAGAUGCCCUUUGGCAACCAUCAGAAAAGAAGAUUCUCAAGCAAAUCAGUGGGACAACUCCUAAGUUGUGAGUUGGUGUUGCUGGAUCUGGCCCAACAUG
Long non-coding RNA from Mauremys reevesii (Reeves's turtle), 567 nucleotides. RefSeq lists it as uncharacterized. The record is from RefSeq and is a predicted model, not a curated record. The transcript has 4 exons. Lineage: Eukaryota; Metazoa; Chordata; Testudines; Geoemydidae.